AUUAUUUUGGCAGAUUAGUGCAAUGGAUUUAGAAUCUUUAUAUGUAGUUUAUAUUACAGAUAAUA
This 65-nucleotide transfer RNA is filed under the name Neocrepidodera transversa. RNAcentral's name for it is "tRNA-Leu". The record is from RNAcentral. Lineage: Eukaryota; Metazoa; Arthropoda; Insecta; Coleoptera; Chrysomelidae.